AGACCCGAAACCCGGUGAUCUAGCCAUGGGCAGGUUGAAGGUUGGGUAACACUAACUGGAGGACCGAACCGACUAAUGUUGAAAAAUUAGCGGAUGACCUGUGGCUGGGGGUGAAAGGCCAAUCAAACCGGGAGAUAGCUGGUUCUCCCCGAAAGCUAUUUAGGUAGCGCCUCGUGAAUUCAUCUCCGGGGGUAGAGCACUGUUUCGGCUAGGGGGCCAUCCCGGCUUACCAACCCGAUGCAAACUGCGAAUACCGGAGAAUGUUAUCACGGGAGACACACGGCGGGUGCUAACGUCCGUCGUGAAGAGGGAAACAACCCAGACCGCCAGCUAAGGUCCCAAAGUCAUGGUUAAGUGGGAAACGAUGUGGGAAGGCCCAGACAGCCAGGAUGUUGGCUUAGAAGCAGCCAUCAUUUAAAGAAAGCGUAAUAGCUCACUGGUCGAGUCGGCCUGCGCGGAAGAUGUAACGGGGCUAAACCAUGCACCGAAGCUGCGGCAGCGAACGUAUCACUUAAAGCGAUUCAGCGGGUUACGAUUGACGGAGCGAAGCGACGUCAAAGCGUAUACAAAGUCGAGUCGGUUUAAGGAUACGUUCGUUGGGUAGGGGAGCGUUCUGUAAGCCUGUGAAGGUGUGUCGUGAGGCAUGCUGGAGGUAUCAGAAGUGCGAAUGCUGACAUAAGUAACGAUAAAGCGGGUGAAAAGCCCGCUCGCCGGAAGACCAAGGGUUCCUGUCCAACGUUAAUCGGGGCAGGGUGAGUCGACCCCUAAGGCGAGGCCGAAAGGCGUAGUCGAUGGGAAACGGGUUAAUAUUCCCGUACUUGGUGUUACUGCGAAGGGGGGACGGAGAAGGCUAUGUUGGCCGGGCGACGGUUGUCCCGGUUUAAGCGUGUAGGUGUGUGUUCCAGGUAAAUCCGGUUCACUUUAACACUGAGGCGUGAUGACGAGGCACUACGGUGCUGAAGCAACAAAUGCCCUGCUUCCAGGAAAAGCCUCUAAGCAUCAGGUAACAUCAAAUCGUACCCCAAACCGACACAGGUGGUCAGGUAGAGAAUACCAAGGCGCUUGAGAGAACUCGGGUGAAGGAACUAGGCAAAAUGGUGCCGUAACUUCGGGAGAAGGCACGCUGACAUGUAGGUGAAGUGAUUUACUCAUGGAGCU
This 1158-nucleotide ribosomal RNA is filed under the name Salmonella enterica subsp. enterica serovar Infantis. RNAcentral's name for it is "partial 23S ribosomal RNA". It matches the Rfam family "Bacterial large subunit ribosomal RNA", at positions 711 to 1778 of the family's 2925-position model. Lineage: Bacteria; Pseudomonadati; Pseudomonadota; Gammaproteobacteria; Enterobacterales; Enterobacteriaceae. The record is from RNAcentral.